RNAcentral lists this long non-coding RNA (1009 nucleotides) under Monodelphis domestica (gray short-tailed opossum). Its description in RNAcentral is "lncRNA (ENSMODG00000033625.2)". Lineage: Eukaryota; Metazoa; Chordata; Mammalia; Didelphimorphia; Didelphidae. The record is from RNAcentral.
UUCUAUUUGUCUUUUAUUGAAGAAAACAUUUAAAAACAUAAAUUUGGCUGUAUCUGAGAAAUUUUGGAAUAUUGCCUCAUUGUCAUUCUUUUUAGUGAAAUUAUAGAUUGAUAGAGGUGAUGUAGUAUAAUGAAUCAUAGAUCUGACCUUAAAGCCAAAAGGAACUGGGUUCAAGUCCUGUAUUUGAUACCUCCUAGUUGUAUGACUCUAUGUAAGUCCCUUAACUUCCUCACAUUCCCAGACAAUUCUCUUAGGUAAUGUUACAAAAUAGCUGCACAUUUAUAUUGGUGGAAAAGUUGGUGAAAAAGUUUCCCCUCUAGAAGUUCCGUACUAGAAGGAAGUCACAGGUUCUGAUCAAUAUGCACAUAAACAGAUGUGUGUAUAUAGUUCUAUGAUGUCAUAGGUGUGAAUAAUUCCUCCACAAUCAAAGCAUAAUCACUCACCACCUCAGAGAGUAAUCUUCAUGGAUUGCUAUGCCUGAAAACAAUUCCAUAGUUGGUGGCCAACCUUUUGAUGAUACUUUCCAAGGCAUGAUGUAAGGAGCACAAUGCUAUUUGCAAACCGGAGCAUCUGGAAGUCCUCACAACCUGUUAGAAAUUCUUCUGGGACUGAGAGUCUGUACAGGAUCCCAUCCAUGACAGCAGAGACUACGUGACCACCAAAAUGUAUGUGAAAAUAACUCUAAAAGGCAGCAUAACUCAAAUGCAAUGGUCAAUAGUAGUUCCAGAGGACAAAAGGCUAGAGCUAGGCAGGAAAUGGCACAGCAGAUGUACAUUGAACCUGUACAACCAUAGAUAGAAGUCCUGCUACAUGUUCUUUCUCUGCCCUUGGGACCAGCACAACAGAAGAUGACAUAUACUUCAAUGGAAGGUUACACUUGUUCAGAAUUAAUGGGAGAUAGAAACAAAAGAUGUUCAUAAAUACAACAUUCAAAAGAUAAAAUUCAGAUGGAGACAAGAUGCAAAUAUAUUACAAGUAAAAUAAUAAUACAAUAGUAGGUGAGAUGGCA